GGGCCUGGACUGAAGCUGAGUCCUAAUGGCAUCUAGUUGGGACAAGACCCCCCUCACUGAAACUCAGAGCCUAUCAAGAUCAGAAGAGAUGAAGUCUCAGAGUCUCUGAUAUCUACUCGGAUCAGCUCAAGUGAAGAACAAAGCUGGCUAUGGAGUCUCUCUAUCUCUUGAGUCAAGUCAGCCAACUGAAGUGAUGAGGUGGUCGAUGUGCUCGCUCCUGUCGAUAGAAAAUCUAAAAUCAAUCUGAUCUCCCUCUCAAUAUCAAAGAUCCUAUCCCUAAACCUAAGCAUG
This 291-nucleotide long non-coding RNA is filed under the name Elaeis guineensis (African oil palm). RNAcentral describes it as "long non-coding RNA (EGUI_LNC065856)". The record is from RNAcentral. Lineage: Eukaryota; Viridiplantae; Streptophyta; Magnoliopsida; Arecales; Arecaceae.